UACAGAGGGGGCAAGCGUUGUUCGGAAUUACUGGGCGUAAAGGGCGCGUAGGCGGCCCGCUAAGUCGAACGUGAAAUCCCCGGGCUCAACCCGGGAACUGCGUCCGAUACUGGUGGGCUUGAAUCCGGGAGAGGGAUGCGGAAUUCCAGGUGGAGCGGUGAAAUGCGUAGAGAUCUGGAAGAACACCAAAGGCGAAGGCAGCGUCCUGGGAAGCAUCUGACGCUCAGGUGCGAAAGCUAGGGGAGCGAACGGG
This 253-nucleotide ribosomal RNA is filed under the name uncultured bacterium. Its description in RNAcentral is "partial 16S ribosomal RNA". It matches the Rfam family "Bacterial small subunit ribosomal RNA", at positions 524 to 776 of the family's 1533-position model. The record is from RNAcentral.